AGCGGGGUAGAGCAGCCUGGAGUGCUCGUCGGGCUCAUAACCCGGAGGUCGUCAGUUCAAAUCUGACCCCCGCUA
This 75-nucleotide transfer RNA is filed under the name Candidatus Aenigmatarchaeota archaeon. RNAcentral describes it as "tRNA-Met". It matches the Rfam family "tRNA". From Rfam's summary of the family: Transfer RNA (tRNA) molecules are approximately 80 nucleotides in length. Their secondary structure includes four short double-helical elements and three loops (D, anti-codon, and T loops). Lineage: Archaea; Nanobdellati; Candidatus Aenigmatarchaeota. The record is from RNAcentral.